UCGAACUUUGGAGCCAACGACCUCAAGAUCUUUCCAACAACAGAUCUUGAUGUCAAUACUUCUCCACAUACCUUCAUUUGAUUCACUAUUUUCGUAAUCUUGGUGAAGAAAUCAGUUAUGCUUUCAUUGUCUUCCAUCUGAAGCAAUUCAUACGUUCUUUUGUGAGUUUGUAACCUUACCUCUUUCACCUUCUCCACGCCUCCAAAUGAUUUCUCU
RNAcentral lists this long non-coding RNA (216 nucleotides) under Lathyrus oleraceus (garden pea). RNAcentral describes it as "Pisum sativum (pea) long non-coding RNA (PSAT_LNC016444)". Lineage: Eukaryota; Viridiplantae; Streptophyta; Magnoliopsida; Fabales; Fabaceae. The record is from RNAcentral.